CAGCCGCCGCGGUAAUACGUAGGUGGCGAGCGUUGUCCGGAAUCAUUGGGCGUAAAGGGAGCGCAGGCGGGCAUGUAAGUCUUUCUUAAAAGUGCGGGGCUCAACCCCGUGAUGGGAAAGAAACUACAUGUCUUGAGUACAGGAGAGGAAAGCGGAAUUCCCAGUGUAGCGGUGAAAUGCGUAGAUAUUAGGAAGAACACCAGUGGCGAAGGCGACUUUCUGGACGAAAACUGACGCUGAGGCGCGAAAGCCAGGGGAGCGAACGGGAUUAGAUACCCCAGUAGUCCCUGUCUCUUAUACC
This 301-nucleotide ribosomal RNA is filed under the name uncultured bacterium. RNAcentral's name for it is "partial 16S ribosomal RNA". It matches the Rfam family "Bacterial small subunit ribosomal RNA", at positions 509 to 808 of the family's 1533-position model. The record is from RNAcentral.